This 253-nucleotide ribosomal RNA is filed under the name uncultured bacterium. Its description in RNAcentral is "partial 16S ribosomal RNA". It matches the Rfam family "Bacterial small subunit ribosomal RNA", at positions 524 to 776 of the family's 1533-position model. The record is from RNAcentral.
UACGGGGGGGGCAAGCGUUGUUCGGAAUUACUGGGCGUAAAGGGCUCGUAGGCGGCCAACUAAGUCGGACGUGAAAUCCCCAGGCUCAACCUGGGAACUGCGUCCGAUACUGGAUGGCUUGAAUCCGGGAGAGGGGUGCAGAAUUCCAGGUGUAGCGGUGAAAUGCGUAGAUAUCUGGAGGAAUACCGGUGGCGAAGGCGGCAUCCUGGACCGGCAUUGACGCUGAGGAGCGAAAGCCAGGGGAGCAAACGGG